GAAAUGCGAUAAGUAAUGUGAAUUGCAGUAUUCAGUGAAUCAUCGAAUCUUUGAACGCACAUUGCGCCCGCCAGCACUCUGGCGGGCAUGCCUGUUCGAGCGUCAUUUCAACCCUCAGAACCCCUUGCGGGAUCUGGCGUUGGGGAUUGGCAUCCAGCCAGCCUCGAAAUCUAGUGGCGGUCCCUCCGCGACCUCCCCUGUGCAGUAGCGAUACCUCGCAGCGGGACAGCGGUCUGACCACGCCGUAAAACCCCCAACUUCUCAAGGUUGACCUCGAAUCAGGUAGGAAUACCCGCUGAACUUAAGC
This 307-nucleotide unclassified non-coding RNA is filed under the name plant metagenome. RNAcentral's name for it is "partial contains 5.8S ribosomal RNA, internal transcribed spacer 2, and large subunit ribosomal RNA". The stretch from base 1 to 105 matches the Rfam family "5.8S ribosomal RNA", at positions 50 to 154 of the family's 154-position model. The record is from RNAcentral.